GACGAACGCUGGCGGCGUGCUUAACACAUGCAAGUCGAGCGGUAAGGCCCUUUCGGGGGUACACGAGCGGCGAACGGGUGAGUAACACGUGGGUGACCUGCCCUCAGCUCUGGGAUAAGCCUGGGAAACCGGGUCUAAUACUGGAUAUGACUCCAUGACGCAUGUUGUGGGGUGGAAAGCCUUGUGCGGCUGAGGAGUCGG
This 201-nucleotide ribosomal RNA is filed under the name uncultured bacterium. RNAcentral describes it as "partial 16S ribosomal RNA". It matches the Rfam family "Bacterial small subunit ribosomal RNA", at positions 28 to 228 of the family's 1533-position model. The record is from RNAcentral.